UCUGUAGUCCACAGAUGUGUCUCUUGUGACCCAGGCUGCAUUCCUGUUGACUCUGGUGGAAAGUCAUUGCUCACUCUAUUUGCUGUCUUUGAGCUUGCGGGAUCUUAGUUUCCCAACCAGGCCUCAUCAGUGAAAGUGCAGAGUCCUAACCACUGGACUGCCAGGGAAUUCCCAUUUUUUUCAUUCUUACCAGCAGUGUAUGAGAGCUCCAUUUCUUCCACAUCCUGGUAUUUGUAAACUUCAUCCUGGAGGACUAGAGACAGCCCAGUCGAGAGGA
This 277-nucleotide long non-coding RNA is filed under the name Monodon monoceros (narwhal). RNAcentral describes it as "lncRNA (ENSMMNG00015001363.1)". The record is from RNAcentral. Lineage: Eukaryota; Metazoa; Chordata; Mammalia; Artiodactyla; Monodontidae.